This 46-nucleotide non-coding RNA is filed under the name Schistosoma haematobium. Lineage: Eukaryota; Metazoa; Platyhelminthes; Trematoda; Strigeidida; Schistosomatidae. The record is from RNAcentral.
GCAUUGCUGAUGAGUCCCACAACAGGACGAAACGGCCGUCCAGUGC